This 374-nucleotide ribosomal RNA is filed under the name Acanthurus thompsoni (Thompson's surgeonfish). RNAcentral describes it as "partial 12S ribosomal RNA". It matches the Rfam family "Bacterial small subunit ribosomal RNA", at positions 801 to 1384 of the family's 1533-position model. Lineage: Eukaryota; Metazoa; Chordata; Actinopteri; Acanthuriformes; Acanthuridae. The record is from RNAcentral.
CAUUGAUGAUAAUUUACAACUAUCAUCCGCCUGGGAACUACGAGCACCAGCUUAAAACCCAAAGGACUUGGCGGUGCUUUAGACCCACCUAGAGGAGCCUGUUCUAGAACCGAUAACCCCCGUUCAACCUCACCCUUCCUUGUUCUUCCCGCCUAUAUACCACCGUCGUCAGCUUACCCUGUGAAGGACUGAUAGUAAGCAAAACUGGCAAAGCCCAAAACGUCAGGUCGAGGUGUAGCGUAUGGAAGGGGAAGAAAUGGGCUACAUUCACUAAUUCAGUGCAUACGAAUGACAUCCUGAAACACGUGUCUGAAGGAGGAUUUAGCAGUAAGCAGAAAAUAGAGUGUUCUACUGAAACUGGCCCUGAAGCGCGC